AGAGUUUGAUCCUGGCUCAGAACGAACGCUGGCGGCGUGGAUAAGACAUGCAAGUCGAGCGCUGAUUACAGGGUAGCAAUAUUCUGUGGUCGGAGCGGCGCAAGGGUGCGUAACACGUGGGCAAUCUGCCGUGAAGUCGGGGACAACUUGCUGAAAGGCGAGCUAAUACCGGAUGUAAAAAUUGGAAGGCAUCUUCUGAUUUUCAAAGCUGGGGACCGUAAGGCCUGGCGCUUCAUGAUGAGCCCGCGGCCUAUCAGCUAGUUGGUGAGGUAACGGCUCACCAAGGCUAAGACGGGUAGCUGGUCUGAGAGGACGACCAGCCACACUGGAACUGAGACACGGUCCAGACACCUACGGGUGGCAGCAGUCGAGAAUUUUUCACAAUGGGCGAAAGCCUGAUGGAGCGACGCCGCGUGGGGGAUGAAUGGCUUCGGCCCGUAAACCCCUGUCAUUUGCGAUCAACCGUUAUUAUUUAAAAGAUGAUGACCUGAUAGUAGCGAAAGAGGAAGGGACGGCUAACUCUGUGCCAGCAGCCGCGGUAAUACAGAGGUCCCAAGCGUUGUUCGGAUUCACUGGGCGUAAAGGGCGCGUAGGUGGCGAGGUAAGUCGGAUGUGAAAGCUCGGAGCUCAACUCCGAAAUGGCAUUGGAAACUACCUUGCUUGAGGGUUGGAGGGGGGACUGGAAUUCUCGGUGUAGCAGUGAAAUGCGUAGAUAUCGAGAGGAACACCAGUGGCGAAGGCGAGUCCCUGGACAACUCCUGACACUGAGGCACGAAAGCUAGGGGAGCAAACAGGAUUAGAUACCCUAGUAGUCC
Molecule: ribosomal RNA, 815 nt
Filed under: uncultured bacterium
Lineage: Bacteria
Description: bacterial SSU rRNA
Rfam family: Bacterial small subunit ribosomal RNA
Source: RNAcentral